Molecule: RNA transcript, 8675 nt
Organism: Aquila chrysaetos chrysaetos
Lineage: Eukaryota; Metazoa; Chordata; Aves; Accipitriformes; Accipitridae
Gene: AKTIP
Gene name: AKT interacting protein
Exons: 13
Source: RefSeq, a predicted model, not a curated record
AAGUCGGCAGGUCAUCCCCUUGUGCCUUUUAAACUGUUAGCUGUUCGCUGUAAAAGGGUUGGUUUCAUUGGUGUAGGUUAUGACUUCCUCGAGGAGUGCGUUAGGGGAUGGAAGUCGCAGCAGCAGGUGUCGGUAGGAAAGGUGUAAUCCACCUGUGGAGGAAGAGUUGGCAAACAGGCUUGACUGGUCAGCGUUCCUGUUCGCUGCCAGCGUUUCCUUCGGUGACUCUCUCGUCCAGUAGGUUAAGGUGUGGGCUGGCGAAAUCCUUGGAGAAACUCCUUGACGAUCAGGAGUAGGUGUGCUGAGGAGAAGGUAUAAACCAGAGAGGCCUGAGGACACUCUGAAGAUACUGAAAAGUUGCAGUCAUUUAUUUGGAAUACACGUUAUGAACCCUUUCUGGAGUAUGUCUACAAGUUCUGUGCGCAAGAGACCCGAUGCUGAAGAGAAAACUUUGAGUGGAGAGCUGCGAACCAGUCCUCUACGAGCCUCUACAAAGAAACAGUUGCCUUCUAUUCCAAAGAAUGCUGUGCCAAUAACCAAGCCUGCUUCACCUGCCAUGUCAUCCCAGUCGACAAAUGGAACACAUGCUUCUUAUGGGCCUUUUUAUUUGGAGUAUUCCCUCCUUGCAGAGUUUACCUUGGUUGUAAAGCAGAAACUGCCAGGUGUCUACGUGCAGCCAUCUUACCGAUCAGCAUUAAUGUGGUUUGGUGUAAUAUUCAUAAGACAUGGGCUCUACCAGGAUGGUGUGUUUAAAUUUACUGUCUAUAUUCCUGAUAAUUACCCAGAUGGAGACUGCCCGCGCUUGGUUUUUGAUCUGCCUGUCUUCCAUCCACUAGUAGAUCCUUUAUCUGGUGAACUGGAUGUGAAAAGAGCAUUUGCAAAAUGGAGGCGAAAUCAUAAUCACAUAUGGCAAGUAUUAAUGUAUGCUCGCAGAGUCUUCUACAAGAUUGAUACAACUACUCCUCUGAAUCCUGAGGCUGCAGUGCUGUAUGAAAAAGAUAUUCAGCUGUUCAAAAGCAAAGUGGUGGACAGUGUCAAACUAUGCAGCAGUCAUUUAUUUGAUCAGCCCAAAAUAGAGGAUCCCUAUGCAAUCAUUUUUUCUCCAUGGAAUCCAGCUAUACAUGAUGAAGCUAGAGAGAAGAUGUUGACUCAGAAGUAUAGAAAAGAAGGAAAAACCUGUGGAUCUUGGAAGAAAGCAAGCGAUUCCUUCUGCUGUUCCUGUUGUCAGUUGUGUGAUGACAUGUGCAGAAAGACUUUCUGUCCUUCCCUCUCUUCUGUACCCACCAUGGGAAAGCAAAAGGAAGCGCAAACCUUCUGGAGCAGUUGCUUAGUGCCACAGCUGUUUCUUGAAAAGCUAGUGAGUAACAGUGUUGGAGAGAGUGAGAGUGUGUGUGCGUGUACAUGCGCGCAUGUGGUUUUCCUCCUGUGCGAGCAAAGGAACGAAUAACUGGGCACAUAACACUUCUUUGCUCCAGUGCCGAUUCAGUGGUCUUUAGGAAACUACUGUCAGUGUAACAUAGGGGGUCGAAACCUAAUUUUUCAGUCUUUCAAAGCAAAGAAGGUCAUUCCUACUGUGUAUUGCCAACCACAGAAGCUGUCUGGCCCACCUCCGUCAGUGAGAGGGAAAUCCUGUGGGCCGGGGGGCUGCGAGGGCCCACUCUGGGGUGCAGUGUGUUGCCUGAGAUGGCAUGGUAAGUGUGUGCUGGCACCACCUGUGGCAUCUCCUGGGCCAGUGUGGCUGUGUGCAGCUCCGUGAGCCCCACACAGCUCUCCAGAGAGCUCCUGGCUUCAUCUCCCGGUAUGGAUGUGGUCGUUUCUCCCUGGGAUCUUUGCUGAAGAGGUUGAAGACCACGUCCAGCCCCCAUGGAAAAGGGUGAGUGAUCUUGCUGCUGAUCCCGUCCUUUGAGAGGGAGGGAGGGAGGUGGUAGUGGGGGAGUUGGUGUCUUGCUCAGCCUAUCUCCUCCUGUACCAGAAAGAAAGCUCGUAGCUAGUGCAGGACAGGGCUGUAACAGUGGCUGUAGUGUGGGACUUCAAUUGUUUUCUGCCUCGACUACUUCUGAAAUACUCGGUAGAAGCAAGGGCUGCUGAAUGCCAUCUUGUAGAAGCCAAGGCCUCGAGUGCUUGUGCACAAAGGCCGGGCUUGAAGGGAACUGUCCGAAGACGCUUUUGUUCUCAAGAGUGUGCUUAGGUUCUUGGGCAUGUUUUGCUUUUUUUCAUGCUUGCAGCUUUGCAGACCUGAAGGCAGUGCGUGUGGGGAAUGGCCUUUCUCUGCAUAGCUUGGGCAGGAGUUCAGUUGUUUUCUCACUCUGGUUUAGACCCCUCCAAUGCUUUUCGAUAUCUUUCUUAAUAUCUCUUAUUUAAUGCUGUGCCCUUGUAAUUUGUGUUGUUAGGAAGGGUAUGUGCAGGAAGUAGCUCACAUCCAGCUUGCACCUUCCCCAGCACUUUUAUGCCCAUGGAAAGGGGGUAGGCGUGUGGCACAACACAUGGAGGAACGUUUGCAGCAGCCACAGCCAAUGUCUCGUGCUUAAAUCAAACUAUUUCUGGGAGUGUGGGGUGGCUGACAACUGCUUGAUAGCUAGCUUAAUACUUGGAAGAUGUUUCUUUUGUUGCUCUCUUACCUUUUUCUUGAUUCUUAUGCAGCUGAUUUGCUACUUAAAAAAAAAAAAUCCUUUGUAGUGUUUCUGGCUGUUAUUUGCAUUCUAGGAAACAGAUUUCUGAUAAUCCUAAAUAUGCAUUUGUUCAAUUUCACUCCAUCCUCUGUGUCAUGUGUUAACAACCUUUGUUAGAAGGUUGUUAACCUUUCUAACAAAUAUAUAGUUUUAGUCCAGCAUGACCCUGCUGUUGAGCAGCCCUUUUCUGCGAGGGAAGUCUCUAGAAUGGGGUACAGCAUAGCUGAAGUGAGCUUUAACACAGUGUUGGACUUGUAAAAACUUGUGAGAAAAGCAGCCAGCUUCCUUCUAACCCAGUACAAAGGAAAAAGAGAUGGCUCCGUGUCACUUACCUCGGUCAGCUUUCUCUUCUGUGUGGCAUUAAUGCCCCUGUUAGCCUGUGUAUUUCGGGCAUCUGGUAGGUUAUGAGGAAUUGCAAGUGCCUUGGAAUUGUCAAAUGCCUGUUUGAGUUUACGAUAGAAAACAGAAAGGGAGGAACUGAUCUGAAAGCUGAGCUUGUAUUGCCUGGAAAGUGGUGCCAUGUUUUUUUCAAGGAAGGCAUGCGGGAAAAGUUUUUGAGGGCUAGUGUGCUGGCCUAGUGUGUAGCUACUAAAAUACUGUGAACAUUAAUUCUGUUGCCUCUGUUAUUUCUCUUACACUUUUCUUGGGACGGCUGAAAUUUAAAUCUGAAGCAGCAUUUAAAUUUCGCAUUAGAAAAGUUUAGUUAAAGGACUCUUAGUGCGACGCAGAAAAUGGGCCUGGCUUUGUGACGGAGCAUGCUGUACCAGCUGGGCGGGGAGGCAGAACUAGAGUGUUUAAACUGGAAUGUGAUAGUGCCUCUUUUUUUUUUUAAGAUUACUCAGAAGCCUUUGUAAUAAAUCACUGACUUGCAAGUUUCCUAAGCCACUUACGUGAAGGACUUGCGUAGAAGUUUAAUCCCUUCUAAUUUUGGGAUGCUCUUUCAUCUCAGCUGCAGCAGGGUAGAUGCAGGACUUAAUUCCUACUGCUGUACAAAGCCGAAAAGGGACCGUGUCCCCACACCUACUGAUGGUGCGGGGUGGGGGCAGAGUUCAAUAGGGAGCAAAUCCUGGGGAGUGUUACCUAAUGUCAGUUCAGAGGUGUGGCGGCGGCUGCUGCUGUUGUUUUAUUUGUCUGAUUGCCGCUGGGGUUUAGAAAACACCACAGUUAGUAAAAACAAUGACAAGGAAGAAUGACAGAAUGAAGUAAAAAUGAUGCUUAUUUGAGUAAAUUUUCUUUACCUUUGAAUGGUUAGGGACCUCUGUAGGUGUGGUGAGUAGGUUGGAUUGCUCUAAGCUAAAUCCAUGCGAAUAACAGUUUCCUGAAAAGAAAAUACUUUUUUUUUUUAUUUAAAGAAUGUGGAUUUUUGUUUUAUUUAGAAUGGAUAAUCUGAAACUUUUUCUUUAUUAGAUUGAGAAAGGGGAGAAAAGACUAACUAUAUCGUUCUGUAAUUGGAUUUGUGUGUUAAAAGCAGCUGUUCCAGGAACAAGGUAGGUGAAUGAGUACUGAAACAAUACCAUUGAAAUCAAAUCCUUUUCUCCUGAUUAUAGUCAUCUUUCCUAGUACAAGUAUAUCAUUUAAUGAAAAAGUAAAUUUAAGUUGACUAUCAUCUUUGCAAUUCUCAACUCUGUAAAAAUAUUUCUGAAAGAAAAAUAGAAGUUAUGCCAGCAGUCUUAAACAGUUAAGUUUGUAGUUGGACUAGAUGAUUGUUGUAGGUCCUUUCCAAGCCAACUAUUCUGUUCUAAGUCUUGAAAUAAAUAUUUUGAAGCUACUUGAGAAUUUUUUUUUUUAAAUAGUUUUUACAUACUAGAUUUUUUUUUUCUUUGGAACACCUCUGUUGAAGUAGCUUUUCUAGCACUUGUUUCAAAACAUAAACUACACAUUGUACCUCUUAUUAUUUACAACUGAGGGUUCCUAAACAAUUUGGUUUCAGAAAGGGAUGGGAACAACAGAAGCUGAUGAAGCUUAGUGCCAGGGCCACUAGGUAAAAAUGCAGGGGAAAAACGGUACAUACUUAGCUGUAAAAAUGCAGUAGUUGGCUGCCAGUGGCCAAAACAGUUCUUAACAACUUAACUAAGAAUUCUUAGUUAGUUCCCUAAUUGAGUUCAAACACGAGUACAUGGGCUAGUAUGUAUGAAAAUAAUUCUGCUUUCAUUAGAUUAAAAUGUGCAAUCUUGUAUUAAAGCUCCUGCAAGGCAGACAGAGUGGCUUGCUUUUGUUCUAGGCUCCUCUUCUCCUGCAUAGCCCUGCCAGCCCACCUCCUCUGCGAAGAGGAGCAGCACCAUGAGCCCCUGGCUGUGCUUGGAGAGACUCCCCAGCAAAGGCAGUCCUUGGCACUGACCCUCCGCGGGGCCAUGUUCUGGCAGAGCAACAGCAGGAAACGCGUUUAGAACAAACACGAUGACUAAACUGGGGCAAGAGUAAAGCCUUGUCCUUGUUGUGUGACUAAAACAUCUACACAAUUUCUUGACUUCAGCCUUUUUGUUAUGCAGGUGCAACAAUCCCUAUCUAGAAUGAAGAUGCUUCUCAGGGAAGAUUUCUACUUCAUUCUUGGAGACCAGAGAGGACAGGAUUCAGCCUGUUACAUGUUCACCUGGUGAGUUCUGCUGGCUACUGCUGUCACUGCUGCCAGAGCGUCGUCGUCUCCUCCUGCCUUUUAUCAGGACACUGCGAUAUACCUGCAGGGAAGAAGAGAAGCAUAACGAAGAAAGGAUGAUUAGACAUGCAGUUACAUCAUCACGAAACAAUAGUCUGUACGAUAUAUCUGCUUGUUAGAAACUGCAUUGUGGUAUCAAACUGCUUCUUACAGGGGAAAAUACAGCCUCCUAAGAGGAGUAUUAUCCCAUAGGCACCACCUUCUUAGGUUUUAAGUAAAGAUAUUUUCUGGUUUAGGUAUAGUUUAACAUAAAAGGCUUUCAGUAGUGCAGGAUUUUGGAUGCAACUGCUGUCUCUUGAGAAUGGCUCACAGACUGCACUCAUUUAAUACUAAAUGUUACUGUAAAAAGCAAUCCAUUCCUAAAAUAGAACUAAGGCAUUUAAUAAAUGGAAUACCACAUUGUUUAAUACUACCUCUACUUACAUGACUCUUGGCUUGUGGUUGUGUCCGAUAACAGCGCAUAAUAUUCUGAAAUGAUCUGUCUUCCUUAGUAACCUAAGAGGACAUGAACAGAAAAGUUAAAUAUGGGUUUUUUUGAGGAACUGCAAUGUCUGGAAUAUUAAGUCUUAAAGAAGUGUUUUGUUUGCUUUAUCUUUAUUCACACUGUACCUUAGCCAUUACAUAGAUGGCACACAUCAGCAGCUGAUCCAAAUGUCUAUCCAUCAUGAUUUCAGGGCAGUGCACCAAGGAAUACUCAAAACAUGUCCAGAUCUUCUUCCGCAGUUCAUCAGAUAUAUCGAGUUUGACACAGAGAUCUCUCAGACGAACACUAGCUAAAUGAUACACCUGUUGAAAUGGAGACUGUGCUUAGGGCCACAGCAAUACUGCUUUUCCUACCCAGCUAAGGAGUAGUUCAGGCUUGCCCACCCUGCAGAACUUGUGCAAAUGAUAAGCCAAAAGAAGAAUAACUAAAUUUAACUUUUUUCUUACAAGACACACACAUUCUCAGUACUGGUAUUGAUGCUAAGAACACAGUUUGAAGCUUAAAUUCUGAGUUGUCCUGAGCACAGGAAGGGUACUGCAUAGCCUGACAAGAAACCACUGGAUUGAAUAAACCAGAAUGGUCUGAAAGGUGAUUUCUUCCUUUUAAAGAAAGAGCCUUAAAGAAAAUGGACACCUUCAAGUACCUGCUGGCCAAGUACAUAAUCUGCUUCACAACUUGUGAUGUGAUAGCUGUGGUGAUAGUCUACUCCUUUGCUAGUAAGAAGUUGCCUGCAUAAGAAAACUACUCUUCAGGUACGUGUAUGAACAGACAAAGGGUAGAGAUUAACUUUAAAAUUGAAUAUUCGCUCAGUAGUAGUAGUAAUAAGUACCUAUUUUAAAAAUCACUGAAGACUUACCAAAAUACAAACUAAGCAAAGCACAAAUUAGACUGAAAAGUACCUUUCUAAAGAAGAGUGAAAGUGAGCCCAUCUUCCGAGGCCUGAUGGACAUGGCAGUGGUAAAUUGUUGGGUUUGUCUUUGCUCUGCAGGAGAGAUCUGCUGAACAGUUAACUGGCCUGGUAACUGCAAUGUUGCCCCAGUCAUCUGAGUGUUCAGGGUACCAGCAAGAGUCUGGGCACUGAGAGGCUGAAUGGGACCAGAAACAGCUUGAGGCUGGGUACCUACAUUUACUUGGACCGGGAAGAAAGUUAUUCCUCCAUUUUCAUUGGCAAUACCUGUAAUUUAAGAGAAAGACUCUGAAAUAAGAGCAGGUUGAUGGAGGGGAGGUUUGGUUUUUUUUAAAGAAUUCAGUAAUCAUGUUAUUAGUUGCUUAUAACUGUAACUAUGUGUUUAGUAUAUAUGAAAUUGUUUCAUCAAAAUACUUUUGGACUUUUCAUCAUAAGGAGAGAAGAAGAUAAUGAAAUUGAACUAAGUUUUUCAUACUAAUGCAACUUUCAUCCCAUGCCAGUUCAGGAAGGAAGGCUUACUGAAAUAACUAAAUUUUAUAAAAUAGAUGUUGGCAGUCAGAACAUCCUCGUGCUGUACAUGUUCGGUUUCUAAAUUCUGCUCAUCUGUUCAAACAAUUUUUCCCAGUUAUGAAUCCUUAAACAUACUUUUUCUCCACUGGUGUACUGUUCCCCCUCCCUCCCCCUUACUGUGUACUAAUACUCUGACAGGAACAAGCCUCAAUAAUUCUUUAGUGGCUUUUCUCUCACCUUGUACUGGUAUUGUCACAGUUUGCCCAUUGUUGGCUGUUACGGUGGCAGUUGCCACUGUAACCAGUGUCUGGCCGGGCACUGGAGUUACUGACAUUGCUUCAGGAUUCAUGUUCUGCACAGGCACCGUAUUUACCACGGGCUGUUGGGAAACUCUUACUGGAGUUCCACUGUCAGAGGUAUUAUCAUUAUCAACAAACAGUCUUCUCCUUGUAGGAUUGGCUGUAGGAGAACUGUAUCUGUCAUACAGGGUAGUGGGAGAGGAUGAAAGGCCUGUGAAUUAAAAACACACACACACAUAUAUAUAUAUUUAACUCUUGUUCUUCAAUCCCUUAUAACACAAAUAUGUGACAGAAGUCUAAUGAGAACCAAACUAUGUCAUGCAAAGCUCUUUGGGAAGCAUUUUUAAAAAUUCCUUAUGUCUACAUUUGUGGCUUACAGAUUGUUUUUAGAGGUGACGGUCUCAAACAAUGCUGUGUUUAGCUUAGAAAAAUAUUAAGGUAUUAUGUUUUAUUUUUCCAGAGAAAAGGUUGAGACUUGACAUAACUAAAUAUAUAGUGGAGCUUCUAUUCUAGUAUAACAAUAAAGCAAACUAUUCAAGUGCUACCUCUUAGAACAUAAGUACUGCGUGUGUAUAAAUAUUAUUUAACAUAUACAUAUGUACACAUACAUCUAUGCUGUUCAUAUACAUAACUUCCUGAAAACACCCUAUCAAAAUAAUAUUUUGUUCACACUGAAAUGAUGAAUGCAUCCUUCCCAGAUAUCUGACUUAACUAUGUGAGUUGCAAUAGAAAUACCAUUUACAAAUGUGUGUGUUUGCAGUUAACUAUACAUUGACAUUAAAGCAGCUUCCUUAUUGUACACCACUUAGACCAUGACUUUAAUUUUUAAAUCUAAGAAGUGUAAGUAAGUAUGUUAUGCUUAAAAAAAAGAAGUCUCACCUUUUCCUAAUCCUCCAGUUUCAGCACGAACCUCAUUUAUUCGUCUUGGUGUCAAUGGUGAACCUACAACACUGUUCGCAGCAGAUCUCUCAAAAUAGUGAGGUGGCAUUACCUAAAAUAUUUAUACUUUUAUUAGAGUGUCUGUAUCGCAGAUUAACUACAUAAUAAAUUUUUAAAAGCCUAACUAAAACUUUGUAGGGAUUGUACUACUCUAGAACACACAGUACUGGAAUAAUCUUUCUAUGACUACAAUUAAAAGUCUGUACUUCCCAUA